GAUUGAUUACACCGGAGACGCUUCCGUCCCAAUUGCUGCCUCACACUUCUCUUCCAAAAUCGAUCAGAAUAGAAACCGAAAAAAAAAAAAAUUUUGGAAAAGCGAAACGAAGAAGAAACCCUAAUCAUGCUCUUAGGGUUUCAAUUUCCAAUUAGCAGCAUCUUCGAACUGUAAUCUCUGAAUUCGAGCUUUUUGAAGUUCCGAUCUCGGGGAAGAUGAGCGAAAACAGCGAUAAUCGGAAUAAGGAUAAUCCGUGGCCGUCGCCAAACAGGCCGUACCAAGAGAAGGAGCCGGCGGAGUUGAAGCUUUGGGGAAUUUUCCUCUUCGGUUUAAUUGGCGCCACCGCCACCACUUUCGCUGUCGGUCAGUUGCGGAGGACUGUUGGUUGGUUCUACUCUCAGUUAAGCAGGACACAAUCUUUUAAAGGAGGAUCUGGGAAAUCGUUUCAAUCGUCUUUUCGAGAGGAAGCAUGGAGAAGAUACAACCGUCGGAUGCAAGAGGAGUACGAAGAAGAAAUGGAGAGAGUAGAACGAAUACGGCGUAUGCAAAGCGUGUUCAAUAGAGAGAGGAACAAAUACAAAAGGGGCUACGAGAGCUGGAAGGAAAAUGGCAAUGGUGCGGAUCAUCAACAUUUCCAGCGAGAUGAUUGGUAUUGGAAGACGGAUACUUCCUUCAGAGACAGAAGGACUAACUACAGCAGAGUUCCCAAAGAAAAUACCAGCUAUUCAUUAUCACAUCACUACUCAGUGUUGGGCCUUGACAGGUUCAGAACAAAACCUUACACAGAUGCCGAGAUUAAGACAGCAUUUAGGGCCAGGGCAAUGGAGUUUCACCCAGAUCAGAACCAAGACAAUAAAGUGGCUGCUGAGGCCAAAUUUAAAGAGGUAAUGGUCUCCUAUGAAGCCAUAAAGAAAGAGAGACCGGGCAGCACAACUCGGGAUUCUUCUUAAACGUUGAAGCAGGCAGAUAUUGAUGCGCUGCGUUGAGCAAUUCCAAGUUUCUUCAGAGUUUAGUAGAUCGGAAAGAAUUACAGUGUAUUUAUUUUGGAGGAAGAGUUUGAGAGGUAGCGCUUAUGCUAGGUUGAUAUCGGAGGUUAAUUGAUGACCUUUGUGUAUACACAUAAAAUAAAGGCAGGUGAAUGACAUGCUUCAAGUAAAACCGAUAGAUUGCUUGUGUUUCCUAAUUCUUGCUUGGACGACAGCAAAGUUUUGUGAAGGAAAUACGAACUGUUGUUUUCGCUCGCCAUUCAACGAUUCUUGGGGUAAAUGGCGCUCUUUUGUACGUAAACGACGUUGAAGCUCUUUUUAGGAUUCAAAACGACAAAGAACUUGUAAGUGUAAGAAAAACAGAAAAGAUAAG
RNA transcript from Morus notabilis, 1359 nucleotides. RefSeq lists it as uncharacterized. The record is from RefSeq and is a predicted model, not a curated record. Lineage: Eukaryota; Viridiplantae; Streptophyta; Magnoliopsida; Rosales; Moraceae. The transcript is spliced from 8 exons.